RNAcentral lists this ribosomal RNA (600 nucleotides) under uncultured delta proteobacterium. Its description in RNAcentral is "bacterial SSU rRNA". It matches the Rfam family "Bacterial small subunit ribosomal RNA", at positions 54 to 688 of the family's 1533-position model. The record is from RNAcentral. Lineage: Bacteria; Deltaproteobacteria.
CAUGCAAGUCGAACGAGAAAGUCACUUCGGUGGCGAGUACAGUGGCGCACGGGUGAGUAACGCGUAGAUGAUCUACCCUUCAGUCUGGGACAACUCUUGGAAACGGGAGCUAAUACCGGAUAAAACCUUCGGGUUGAAAGAUUUAUCGCUGGGGGAUGAGUCUGCGUACCAUUAGCUUGUUGGUGGGGUAACGGCCUACCAAGGCGACGAUGGUUAGCGGGUCUGAGAGGACGAUCCGCCACACUGGAACUGAGACACGGUCCAGACUCCUACGGGAGGCAGCAGUAGGGAAUAUUGCGCAAUGGGGGCAACCCUGACGCAGCAAUGCCGCGUGAGUGAAGAAGGCCUUCGGGUCGUAAAGCUCUUUUAUGGGGGAAGAUGAUGACGGUACCCCAUGAAUAAGCACCGGCUAACUACGUGCCAGCAGCCGCGGUAAUACGUACGGUGCGAGCGUUGUUCGGAAUUACUGGGCGUAAAGGGCGUGCAGGCGGAUUGGCAAGCCGGAGGUGAAAGCCCGGGGCUCACCCCGGAGGGUCUUUCGGGAACUGCCAGUCUUGAAAGGGUCAGGGCCARCGGAAUUCCUGGUGUAGAGGUGAAAUC